This 253-nucleotide ribosomal RNA is filed under the name uncultured bacterium. RNAcentral's name for it is "partial 16S ribosomal RNA". It matches the Rfam family "Bacterial small subunit ribosomal RNA", at positions 524 to 776 of the family's 1533-position model. The record is from RNAcentral.
UACGUAGGGUGCGAGCGUUAAUCGGAAUUACUGGGCGUAAAGUGUGCGCAGGCGGUUCUGCAAGUCGAGUGUGAAAUCCCCGAGCUUAACUUGGGAAUUGCGCUCGAAACUACGGAGCUGGAGUGUGGCAGAGGAAGGUGGAAUUCCACGUGUAGCGGUGAAAUGCGUAGAGAUGUGGAGGAACACCGAUGGCGAAGGCAGCCUUCUGGGCCAACACUGACGCUCAUGCACGAAAGCGUGGGGAGCAAACAGG